Schistosoma mattheei is the source of this 45-nucleotide non-coding RNA. NCBI's taxonomy places the organism in Eukaryota, Metazoa, Platyhelminthes, Trematoda, Strigeidida, Schistosomatidae. The record is from Rfam.
GUCUAACUGACGAGUCUCAAAUAGGACGAAAUGUGAGUCCUGGAU